UUUGCAUAUCCCAAAAGCGGAGGAAAAGAAACCAACAGGGAUUGCCUCAGUAACGGCGAGUGAAGCGGCAACAGCUCAAAUUUGAAAUCUGGCCUCUUUGGGGUCCGAGUUGUAAUUUGUAGAGGAUGUUUCGGGCACCGCUCCGGUUUAAAUUUCUUGGAACAGAAUGUCAAAGAGGGUGAGAACCCCGUCUUGGACCGGCAGUAGGGCCCAUGUGAAACUCCUUCGACGAGUCGAGUUGUUUGGGAAUGCAGCUCAAAAUGGGUGGUAAAUUUCAUCUAAAGCUAAAUAUUGGCCAGAGACCGAUAGCGCACAAGUAGAGUGAUCGAAAGAUGAAAAGCACUUUGAAAAGAGAGUUAAACAGUACGUGAAAUUGUUGAAAGGGAAGCGCUUGCAACCAGACUUGCGCGCGGCGGUUCCCCCUUCCUUUUGGUUGGGUUAUUCCGCCGUGUCCAGGCCAACAUCGGUUCUGGGGGUCGGUUAAAGGCCUGGGGAAUGUAUCUACCCUUCGGGCGUAGACUUAUAGCCCCGGGUGUCAUGCGACCUCCCGGGACCGAGGAACGCGCUUCGGCUCGGAUGUUGGCGUAAUGGUUGUCAGCGACCCGUCUUGAACCCACGGGACCA
RNAcentral lists this ribosomal RNA (624 nucleotides) under Exophiala dermatitidis. Its description in RNAcentral is "partial large subunit ribosomal RNA". It matches the Rfam family "Eukaryotic large subunit ribosomal RNA", at positions 35 to 664 of the family's 3401-position model. Lineage: Eukaryota; Fungi; Ascomycota; Eurotiomycetes; Chaetothyriales; Herpotrichiellaceae. The record is from RNAcentral.